Non-coding RNA from Armatimonadetes bacterium 55-13, 117 nucleotides. NCBI's taxonomy places the organism in Bacteria, Bacillati, Armatimonadota. The record is from Rfam.
UCGGGUGGCCAUAGCGAGAAGGAAACACCCGUUCCCAUUCCGAACACGGCAGUUAAGCUUCUCAGCGGCGGAAGUACUUGGAGGGCAGCCUCCCGGGAGAUAAGCGCGUUGCCCGGA